RNA transcript from Scylla paramamosain (green mud crab), 3829 nucleotides. It is a transcript of the gene named F-box/LRR-repeat protein 15-like, with no coding region annotated. Lineage: Eukaryota; Metazoa; Arthropoda; Malacostraca; Decapoda; Portunidae. The record is from RefSeq and is a predicted model, not a curated record. The transcript has 7 exons.
UUGCAACACCAAGCAUCUUAGGAAGAUAUUUCAGUAAUAACACAGUAUACUUGAAUUUUAUGGAACCAUUAGAUACAGGCAUUAUGCAGAUUGAAGUUUGUCAAGAUAUGCAUGCCACAUCUGUCAUAAGCAAAGGCAAGCAUAAAAUAUUUGGUAUUUUUUGAUAAGAAGUCUGUCCCCCACCCCUUUCCAUCCCCAUAGCCCUCCCUAACCCCUCAAACAAGUUUGGAGGCCUAUUGGGAAUCGGGGUUUUUUGGGGGGAUGAAAAUAAGUGAAAUAAGGGUGUUAAAGGAUCUAAGGAAAUUUACCCUAAUAUUUUGAAUUUCCCUAACCUAUCCUAGCCCCUAGACCCCUUCUGCUUGGACGUUAAUGUAACCUAGCAUAACCUAACCUAGCUGGUGGGGCUGUGCCUCCCCUGGAACCCCCUCCCCCAGUAGGACGUUAACCUAACCUAGCAUAACCUAACCUAACCUAGCAUAACCUAACCUAAUGAGGGACCUCAAAAAUUAUACUGUUAUGCCUUACCAGUAUGGUGUGGAGAUUCUCAGGGCAAUGGAGGUGGAUACAGUUUGGCGGCUUCCUUAAACAUGGAACCUCUUCAUUAUGUCUGUAUAUUGUAUCUUAACCAUUGCUGUUGCUAAAUAUCUCACAUAGUGACUUCUUUUCCUGCUGAACACUGGCACUAUUUGCUUUACAUCCCUCUAUUGGGUAGCCAUAUUAACAAAUGACAGUGAGCCUUUAUCAGAACACCUGACAUGUCUCUAAAACAAAUGAAAAGUGCAACUGAACCUACUGUAGAAAGUCAUAAUUGGCAGCCUCAGGAAUGGCCUUACAAGUGGCAGCGUGUGAUUGGAGGGAUCAGCUGUAUAGAUACCAGGAAAUCCUAAUAUACCACUACCCACAAAUCCCAGUUAUAAACAAAAGGAAAUUAUUUCAGUGUUUACUCUUGACUGGUGCAGAGCUCACUGGACUUAGAAAAUAUCAAAUAUCUCCACACUCGCGAGUGUUAUUACAGCCAUACUAGUCACGUGCCCCCUUGUUUUUUUACAGCAAGGUCACUGAACCCUUCUCCAUGACUUGUGAGUUUCGUGCUUGUAGGUAAUACGGACGUGAUAUCCAGAUUAACAAAAUAUUCAUGUACCACAUACUUGUUUUACUUUUUACCACUCAAAUGUACUAUGUAAAUUAACAUUAUGAAACACUUAUUUUAUGGAUGGUAUGAUGUUUAUUGUAUGUAUUUGGAACUGAACUCACUUAAAUUCAAGCAGGUGAAAGAAAUGCCUGAUGGAAGUCCAAGGAAUGGAGACAGCUUUUCCUGCAAAUUUACCUGCGAUGGCAGUGACUUCUAGGACAUGAGGCAUCAUGUUGCCAGUCAGUCUGGUGCUGCUGCAGUGACUGGAAACAUCCAGGUUCCUGACCAGAACUUGUAGUACAUUGACCUUCAAGAUCAGCAUGAUGUCUGCAAAACCUGAGCAGUUGACUGAUCUUCCAUGGCAAGACAUCAUCUUUCAACACAUAUUUCCCCACCUUUCUGUGGCAGAACUGUGUCGACUCUGUGCAGUCUCCAAGAGCUUUCAGAAAGUUUCAAAUGAAUAUUUUUAUACUUGCAAACAAUUGGACUUUUCUAACUACACUAUGACUGAUGAUAACUUUCAAAAGAUAAUUUCUCAUUGUAGAAAUCUUCAGUGGUUAUCAGUUGCUGGCUGUUCAUGGCUCAGUGAUGCUCCUCUUAUGAUUGUCUUCAAGCAGAACCAAAACUUAGUACAUGUAGACCUCAGCAAAUGUGUUAACCUUAAUGGAGGAGCUUUGCAGGUCCUGGCAGUCAGGUGUAAGAAGCUGAAGUCACUGCUAGUAGAGGGCUGCCCAUGGCUUACUGGUGGAAGUCUGCAGGUUCUGAUGUUGCAUCAAACAGAACUGCACUAUAUAAAUGUUAGUGGCUGUUGGAGUAUAGAGGACCAAGACCUUGUACAGUUUUUCCAGAAAUUUACAAAGUUAAAAGAAGUGAGACUGAAUCAAGUAGAACAUGUAACUGAUGCCAGCCUUUACCAUCUUGCCUUAAACUGCAAGAAACUGGAGAUACUGGAGUUAUCAGGCUGCUGGAGGAUCACAGACAAGGGAAUUAAGAAGACAUGAUCAAGAGGAGAAAGUAUGUUGAUCGACUUCAUAUCAACAUACAAAUUUAGGAGUCUUCUUUUGGGGCUCCACACACAACCAGAGGAAGCCAAGAUUGCUGGCCUCAUUUAUUUACAGAACCACAAGACUGAAGAAAGCAGGAUUGAUGGCCUUCUGAUCCUGCUGGGCAAUAACAGUAAAAAAAGGCCAUCUGAGGGUUACACCAUGUUACUUCUCAGUUAUGAGCUGAACACUGACCAGUUUUAAUUUAUUUAGUGUUCACAAAUAAACUGUAUUGCUGCAAAUUAGACAUCCUGCAUUAAUAGAGCUGCUUGCACCAUCCCAGCAAAAAUUGAGAUAGCUGUGUAUAACACUCUAUUGAGCUCUUAACUUUUGAGUGGGAGUGGGUGAAUUCCGAAGGCAAGGAUGAACGUUGCCUAAAAGAGAAAAGGUUCAUUGGACUAUUGAUGAAGGUGUAAUGCUGCUGAGCAAUUUUCCAUGUUAGAAGGUUACCAUCCAAAUGAGUAGUCCUCAUAAUGCAGAAAAAUUUCCAGGGUUAAUACACAUUGUAACAACAGCUCAACCAGUGCAGGGAAUGCAUCAGCCAAUCAGAGUAAUCCCUGUCAAGUUAUAGCUCAGCUAACUGGCUAGUGGCAAUUUUUACCAUUUUUCACUUCUUAUUAAUAUUGUUUUUCUUUGUUUAACUAUUCAUGAAAUCAUUAACUGAAAACUCAUUCAGAAUUUAGUAUAACUUCUGAAGCCAUAAUACAGGUUGUAAGAAAAGUAUUUAUGUAAUGAAUGUCAUUACAUGAUUACAUGAAACAUUGACAUCAUGAUCCUGAAUCAUUUAGUAGAAGUUUGCCAAAGUUUGAGCACAUUUUCCCAUUUUUUUAAAUUUUGGUGCAAGCAGCUCUUCUGAUGCAGGACACCUCAGGGAUACUUAUGCUAAGAUAAUUAUCAGUUUGAUGUCUUGAAGCAGUAUUUUUGAUAUAUUAAUUUAAUUAAGUGAGUUACAGAUAAUGUGCUAAGCACGUGUAUCACACCAUUAGUGCAUGUUGUAUCAAUAGUGGCAGAAAUUGUAGGUAUGUUAAUGAUCUAAUAAAUAGAUUUUUAAAGUUUUAUUGAACAUUCAACUUGAACAACUGUUGCAUUUAAUAGUUUCUAAAAUGUGCACCACAUGGGCACAUAAUUCAAGAUGACAGAAGAUCAAUACAAAACAUGGAUUGUAAAAAAUGUAAUUGUUCAACUACAUGAUGGCAUCUCUUAAAGAAACUCCAUUUCUCUUUCAAUGCCAACAAAUUUCAAUUGUUCUGUUGGUCCAUAUCUGCAAGAAAGAGUUACAGUUAUUAGAAUAUUUAAAAAAUGCAAAGCAACUUGACUUACUCGGCAAUAGGUCAUAUCUGUAAUGAAGCACCACAAAACUUGGCAGUUUACAUUUAAGAAUUGAGGAAAUACUUUCCUUCUUUAUUUUCAGAUAACUAAAUAAUCAACUAGGCCAAGGAGACCAUCUCAACAUAAGUGUUCAUUUCAGCCAUUCAGCCUUUGACAGUCAAACAAUAAAUUUCUGGCUUUAUCUGUAUGGUGUCCAUUAGUUGUGAAUCAUCAGAUCAGCUAUUUUUUCUAGUUUGAUCUAGUAUGCUUUUGAAAUGUACAACCUUGAAACAACACAUUCUCAAAAUAAUGUACAUAAACUAUAUCCAUAAAAUAUUGAAAAACA